Molecule: non-coding RNA, 2835 nt
Organism: Pelobates cultripes (western spadefoot toad)
Lineage: Eukaryota; Metazoa; Chordata; Amphibia; Anura; Pelobatidae
Source: the annotation of a GenBank genome assembly
GUGUGUUUCUGCUGUAGGGUGCACACCCUAAUACAAUAGUCUCCGUAGGCCUAUGUGUGGAUCACAGAUAUGAUAAACACGGGAUUAAUAUUACAAUUCCUGGUUAGGAGCUCCGGGGGGCUGUGUCUCUGCGGUCUGGCUGUGUAUCAGACAGUGACACUCGCUGCUCCGCCCGCACAGUGAAUCAGGCCCCGUGUUUACCGCCGUAGUCUGAGGUCACGGUGACUGUGGCUGACGGAGGCGGCCAUGCCGUGAGUGUCCGCCAGGUGGCGCUGCGCUGUCAGCCAAUCUGGGUGAUUGACGCUAAAAUGACGCGUAUUCGGUCACAUUCCGCCAUGUCCGGGCACUGAGCGGUCUGUCCCGGCCCGGGGGGCCAUGGCUGGACAGCAAAGCGAUGCACACCGCCGCUAUCCCCACCCCCCCAUCCUCCUCUCCUCAUCCGGAUGUCUCGGCGGAAGGGGAACUGCCCUCCCGCCAUUCCACCGCAGCACGUCACCAUGCCAGUGACGUCACGGAGCACGCUGACGUCAGGCAGCAGGGCCUAGCCGGACGUGUUCCCAGUGUCCCCCCCGAGCUGAGGAGCGGGCUCCGUGCGGCGGGGACUCGGAGGAUCGGGCGGUGACGGUGAGCGCGGCGCUUCUUCCUGUGACUCGGGCCGGGCCGGGAGGCGGAUCCCCCGUGGGGACCCGAGACGUUCACAUCGGUGAUUGGCUGCAGCUUGUCCCCGAGCUGUGAGUUCACAGGACGCAGGUAAUUCCAGCCAAACAGCCGGCCUGGAGGAGGAGCAGAGACCGGGGAACACACACCGGCCACCCCGGGGGCAGGGGAGAUACACCUCCUCCUGGGGGCAAUAGUGUCAUCCUGGGGGCAAUAGUGUCAUCCUGGGGGCAAUAGUGUCAUCCUGGGGGUAAUAGUGUCAUCCUGGGGGCAGGGGAUAUACACCUCCUCCUGGGGGCAAUAGUGUCAUCCUGGGGGCAAUAGUGUCAUCCUGGGGGCAGGGGAUAUACACCUCCUCCUGGGGGCUGGGGGUAAUAGUGUCAUCCUGGGGGCAGUAGUGUCCUCCUGGGGGCAGAGGAUAUACACCUCCUCCUGGGGGCUGGGGGUAAUAGUGUCAUCCUGGGGGCAAUAGUGUCAUCCUGGGGGCAGGGGAGAUACACCUCCUCCUGGGGGCAAUAGUGUCAUCCUGGGGGUAAUAGUGUCAUCCUGGGGGCAGGGGAUAUACACCUCCUCCUGGGGGCAAUAGUGUCAUCCUGGGGGCAAUAGUGUCAUCCUGGGGGCAGGGGAUAUACACCUCCUCCUGGGGGCUGGGGGUAAUAGUGUCAUCCUGGGGGUAAUAGUGUCAUCCUGGGGGCAGGGGAUAUACACCUCCUCCUGGGGGCAAUAGUGUCAUCCUGGGGGCAAUAGUGUCAUCCUGGGGGCAGGGGAUAUACACCUCCUCCUGGGGGCUGGGGGUAAUAGUGUCAUCCUGGGGGCAGUAGUGUCCUCCUGGGGGCAGAGGAUAUACACCUCCUCCUGGGGGCUGGGGGUAAUAGUGUCAUCCUGGGGGCAAUAGUGUCAUCCUGGGGGCAGGGGAGAUACACCUCCUCCUGGGGGCAGAGGAUAUACACCUCCUCCUGGGGGCUGGGGAUAAUAGUGUCAUCCUGGGGGCAGGGGAUAUACACCUCCUCCUGGGGGCAAUAGUGUCAUCCUGGGGGCAGGGGAUAUACACCUAAUCCUGGGGGGCAAUAGUGUCCUCCUGGGGGCAGAGGAUAUACACCUCCUCCUGGGGGCAGGGGAUAUACACCUCCUCCUGGGGGCAAUAAUGUCAUCCUAGGGGCAGGGGACAUUUUAAACAACUUCUUGUUCUGUUUCCCUCUCAUUCCCAGUCCCGGCCCUGUAUAAACAGUCUGCUUCUAAUGUGCAAACUGCCAACGAUAUGUACUAUUAUUUCAUUCAGAGCUGGCCAAAUUUUAGAUACCUAGCUGCAAUGGUCAUGGCAAAGCAUCAUGUCACUUGUAGUUCUGGGGAUCUAGCGGCAGACUGUAACACUGGGCUUAUAAGUGUGUAUAUGUGUGUGUGACUGUAUUCACAAUAAAUAUUUGAAUUUGGUUGAAAAGUGUAGUGAGAGCUCUCCUUCGAGAUAAAAUUACACACACACACGUAUUGGAAAAAAACAAAACAAAAGAAUUUAGCGCUAUGAGUGAUUUGAUUGAAUCGUAUACAUUGAAUACAGAUAUAUAAGAUAACAAAUAUAAUAUAGUGCAGAUUGUAAAAUACUGUGCAAUUUAUGUGAAGUAGAUAAAUGGAUAACUCACAUUCUCAAGUGCCUAUAUUAUUGGCUCUGUAAACUGGACUAGUAUGCGUUCUAGGGCAGCAUCCCACCACUAUUUCCUGCUGAAAUUUUUUCUCAGGGAAAAUUAAAAUCAUUAGGAACAUCCAAUGUGUAGUAUAAUUAUUUCAAAGGUAUCUUGGAUAAAAUGUGAAUAGGUAUUAAGCUCACUUUUUUCAGAGCCUUAAAGGACCACUAUAGGCACCCAGACCACUUCAGCUUAAUGAAGUGGUCUGGGUGCCAGGUCCAUCUAGGGUUAACCCUGCAGCUGUAUGUUUACUUUAGGGUUAAUCAAGCCUCUAGUGGCUCCCUCAUUGACAGCCGCUAUAGGCGCUUCUGCGCUUCUCACUGUGAUUUUUUUUUUUUUUUCACAGUGAGAAGACGCCAGCGUCUAUAGGAAAGCAUUGAGUGCUUUCCUAUGGACUAGCUGAAUGUGCGCGGCUCUUGCUGUGCAUGCGCAUUCAGCCAAUGACAUCAGAAGAGGGAGGAGAGUCCCCAGCGCCGAGGGAGCCCGGCCCUGGAGAAAG